Non-coding RNA from Dermacentor albipictus, 208 nucleotides. Lineage: Eukaryota; Metazoa; Arthropoda; Arachnida; Ixodida; Ixodidae. The record is from RefSeq and is a predicted model, not a curated record.
CGAUAGCAGCUCGGAUGAGCCUGUUGAGCCAUACAGUCUUCCAACUCCACCAACACCUCCCAGAAUGCCUUUUGCAGCCUGUGAACUGCUAAGUGAUUCACAAGAGGAGUCUCUUCCUUGCAGUGCCGGUGCCUCGACAGCUAUGUGGGUAAAGCAGCCAAAGAAGCUACCUUUAGUGAAAAGAAGAAAGGGCCCACUCACCCAUAUU